AGCUGGAUGAUGGCCCAACACUCGAAGAGCAUCGAAGGAAGGAUCACAAGGGAGUCUGGUGCUGCAGUCGAGGAGCCUGGGACGUAAAAUGGGCUUGGAUUAGAGAAUUAGGCCCAACUUAACUCUGCCCCCAGACUUGUGUCUGCUCCUUCAAGACCUGGACAACUUCCAGACCACGAGAACAGAGUGUCUAACAGGAAUCCGGUAAUGCUGUUGUGGUCAUAGCUUAAUUGCUCUGAAGAGGUAACAGGAUCCAGGCAAUAUCAAAAGCAUGUGAGUGCCCUCUGAGCUCAGCACUGGUCCCCAGCUCUCCCUUUUGCUGUAUCCGUGCCCAGGAGCUUCACCAGCUGGAGACAGCAUUGGCAAGGAGAGCUUCCAAUAGGAUAUGAGCGCUGAUGCUUCUCAUCAAAACCCUGCGCCUGAGCCUGACGAUCGGAACCAUCAGAACGCAAGGAGGCAAAGGUCUGAUGGAUCAAAGGGGACCCACCGGUUUGAUGCUAACCUACUGGAGGAAGGGAGGUCGUCUCGUCCGCUCAGAGGGAGCCAUUAUGAUUCUCAUAUUAAAGUCAUGGAAACUGAGUCCCGGAGAGUUAAGGAACCUGCCCACGUCUACAGAGAUGAGGUUGAAACAGAACCCAAAGCAAGGGGGAAGUCACACGGAGGAGUGCAGCUGGGAGACCAUCGGCUAACACCUUGGUGAGCCUUUUUCUGUGUGCCCUCAGUCUUCUGAAAUCGUCCAUGCAUUUAACUCAGUCCACCCUCCCUUUCUAAAAGCUUUGUACUUUGUGAUAAAUCACUUCCAUGAAUACCAGUGGGAAGGAACAAAGGGGCCCUCAAACACACACCUACAGAAAUGUAGGUCCUUUUUUUUUUGGCCUCGCCUGUGCUAUGUGGAAGUUCCCAGGCCAGGGACCGAACCUGUGCCACAUCAGCGAUCCAAGCAGCUGCAAUGACAAUACCAGAUUCUUAACCCACAGUGCCACAAGAGAACUCUGGUGCAGUCUCCUUUGAAGGCAAUUUGGCAACAUCUAUUGAAAUUUAAAAUUCACAUUGUGUUUACACCCAGAAAUUCCACUUCUAAGUAUUAAACUGGACCAAGAAGUAUGUACAGAGAUAUUCAUGGUAGCAAGAUCCGUAAUAGCCAAGGAUUAGAAACAUCCUAAAUAUUUAUCAUUAGGAAUGCUAGGGGAAUGUUAAAAAAUAAAGCAAAUGGGGAGUUCCCA
This 1223-nucleotide long non-coding RNA is filed under the name Sus scrofa (pig). RNAcentral's name for it is "lncRNA (ENSSSCG00015054522.1)". Lineage: Eukaryota; Metazoa; Chordata; Mammalia; Artiodactyla; Suidae. The record is from RNAcentral.